Molecule: transfer RNA, 72 nt
Filed under: Lachnospiraceae bacterium
Lineage: Bacteria; Bacillati; Bacillota; Clostridia; Lachnospirales; Lachnospiraceae
Description: tRNA-Val
Rfam family: tRNA
About the family: Transfer RNA (tRNA) molecules are approximately 80 nucleotides in length.
Source: RNAcentral
GGGGCUUAGCUCAGCUGGGAGAGCAUCUGCCUUACAAGCAGAGGGUCAUAGGUUCGAGCCCUAUAGGCCCCA